RNAcentral lists this ribosomal RNA (689 nucleotides) under Flavobacterium sp. S172.08.BKT.W.Gill.N. RNAcentral describes it as "bacterial SSU rRNA". It matches the Rfam family "Bacterial small subunit ribosomal RNA", at positions 60 to 752 of the family's 1533-position model. Lineage: Bacteria; Pseudomonadati; Bacteroidota; Flavobacteriia; Flavobacteriales; Flavobacteriaceae. The record is from RNAcentral.
AGUCGAGGGGUAUAGUCUUCGGAUUAGAGACCGGCGCACGGGUGCGUAACGCGUAUGCAAUCUACCUUUUACAGAGGGAUAGCCCAGAGAAAUUUGGAUUAAUACCUCAUAGCAUAGCAGCUUCGCAUGAAGCCACUAUUAAAGUCACAACGGUAAAAGAUGAGCAUGCGUCCCAUUAGCUAGUUGGUAAGGUAACGGCUUACCAAGGCUACGAUGGGUAGGGGUCCUGAGAGGGAGAUCCCCCACACUGGUACUGAGACACGGACCAGACUCCUACGGGAGGCAGCAGUGAGGAAUAUUGGACAAUGGGCGCAAGCCUGAUCCAGCCAUGCCGCGUGCAGGAUGACGGUCCUAUGGAUUGUAAACUGCUUUUAUACGAGAAGAAACACUCCUUCGUGAAGGAGCUUGACGGUAUCGUAAGAAUAAGGAUCGGCUAACUCCGUGCCAGCAGCCGCGGUAAUACGGAGGAUCCAAGCGUUAUCCGGAAUCAUUGGGUUUAAAGGGUCCGUAGGCGGUUUAGUAAGUCAGUGGUGAAAGCCCAUCGCUCAACGGUGGAACGGCCAUUGAUACUGCUAAACUUGAAUUAUUAGGAAGUAACUAGAAUAUGUAGUGUAGCGGUGAAAUGCUUAGAGAUUACAUGGAAUACCCAUUGCGAAGGCAGGUUACUACUAAUGGAUUGACGCUGAUGG